Molecule: ribosomal RNA, 384 nt
Filed under: uncultured bacterium
Lineage: Bacteria
Description: bacterial SSU rRNA
Rfam family: Bacterial small subunit ribosomal RNA
Source: RNAcentral
GACGAACGCUGGCGGCGUGCUUAACACAUGCAAGUCGAACGGUAAGGCCCUUCGGGUACGACGAGUGGCGAACGGGUGGAGUAACACGUGGGUGAUCUGCCUGCACUUCGGGAUAAGCCUGGGAAACUGGGUCUAAUACCGGAUAGGACCAUGGACUUCACGGUUUGUGGUGGAAAGCUUUUGCGGUGUGGGAUGGGCCCGCGGCCUAUCAGCUUGUUGGUGGGGUAAUGGCCUACCAAGGCGACGACGGGUAGCCGGCCUGAGAGGGUGUCCGGCCACACUGGGACUGAGAUACGGCCCAGACUCCUACGGGAGGCAGCAGUGGGGAAUAUUGCACAAUGGGCGCAAGCCUGAUGCAGCGACGCCGCGUGAGGGAUGACGGCC